RNAcentral lists this ribosomal RNA (254 nucleotides) under uncultured bacterium. Its description in RNAcentral is "partial 16S ribosomal RNA". It matches the Rfam family "Bacterial small subunit ribosomal RNA", at positions 524 to 776 of the family's 1533-position model. The record is from RNAcentral.
UACGUAGGGAGCGAGCGUUGUCCGGAUUUAUUGGGCGUAAAGAGCUCGUAGGCGGUUUGGCAAGUCGGAUGUGAAAGCUCCGGGCUCAACCCGGAGACGCCAUUCGAUACUGCCAUGACUAGAGUCCGGUAGGGGGGUGUGGAAUUCCCAGUGUAGCGGUGAAAUGCGCAGAUAUUGGGAGGAACACCAGUGGCGAAGGCGGCUCACUGGACUGGUACUGACGCUGAUGCGCGAAAGCGUGGGGAGCAAACAGG